AUACCCUACUAUGCCUAACUUAACACACAUGAAAUCACCAGCUGUUCGCCAAACAACUACGAGUUAAAACUUAAAACUUAAAAGACUUGACGGUACUUCACACCACCCUAGAGGAGCCUGUCUAAUAACCGAUACUCCACGAUUAACCCAACCCACCCUAGCCCAACAGUCUAUAUACCGCCAUCGCCAGCUUACCUUGUGAGAGAAACAAAGUGAACACAACAGCCACCACUAACACGAUAGGUCGAGGUGUAACUAAUGGGUGGGAAAAAGAUGGGCUACAUUUUCUAACACAGAAAACACGAAUAGACUACGAAAAUAGAAACCGAAGGCGGAUUUAGCAGUAUGUUAAGGACAAAAUGCUUAACCGAAAUAAAUGCAAUGAAGUGCGUACACACCGCCCGUCAUCCCUGUAUAAACCCACUAAAACUACAUAAACACAACAAACCCACCAAACAGGGCAAGUCGUAAC
Molecule: ribosomal RNA, 472 nt
Filed under: Nerodia sipedon
Lineage: Eukaryota; Metazoa; Chordata; Lepidosauria; Squamata; Natricidae
Description: partial 12S ribosomal RNA
Source: RNAcentral